Long non-coding RNA from Erinaceus europaeus (western European hedgehog), 227 nucleotides. RefSeq lists it as uncharacterized. The record is from RefSeq and is a predicted model, not a curated record. The transcript is spliced from 3 exons. Lineage: Eukaryota; Metazoa; Chordata; Mammalia; Eulipotyphla; Erinaceidae.
GCCACAGGCCUCUCCCGCCAGGCAGGGGCGGGGCGGUGGGGCAGCGGCACCGGCUCCCACCCGCGUCCUCCCACGCACCCCAGCUGCACCCAGUGCCCACCCUCUCGUCACCCCGGACCUCUCUAGAAGAGCACUUCUGAGCUCUCACUUCUACUGGUGCCAAGGACUGAGCUUGGGGUCUGAGAUAAUCAGGGCUUCAUAAUGUCAGGAUAAAAUUUUCAGAUAGA